AUUCGACCUCAAAUCAGGUAGGACUACCCGCUGAACUUAAGCAUAUCAAUAAGGCGGAGGAAA
Molecule: ribosomal RNA, 63 nt
Filed under: Lodderomyces parapsilosis
Lineage: Eukaryota; Fungi; Ascomycota; Pichiomycetes; Serinales; Debaryomycetaceae
Description: Candida parapsilosis partial 28S ribosomal RNA
Rfam family: Eukaryotic large subunit ribosomal RNA
Source: RNAcentral